Long non-coding RNA from Rhinolophus ferrumequinum (greater horseshoe bat), 635 nucleotides. RefSeq lists it as uncharacterized. The transcript has 5 exons. NCBI's taxonomy places the organism in Eukaryota, Metazoa, Chordata, Mammalia, Chiroptera, Rhinolophidae. The record is from RefSeq and is a predicted model, not a curated record.
CUCCUCCUCCGCCUCCUCCCCUCGCGCGCCUCGCUGACAGGCCGCCCCAGCCGCCAGGGCGCAGGUACUUUGCCUUCAGAAUAAUUGGCAGGACCCAAGCAAGCUUUCGGAGCGCCCUCGUUUCCUUCUGUCUUUGCCCCCUCCCUCCGGAAAAGAGGAUCCCACUUUUGAAACAAACCGAACCGGAAGAACCCCAGCAAAGCCGAAGCCCGACGGGCUGCUGUGCAUGUGCUGCCCUUUCUUGCAGUUUAUUCUGGGCCUGUGUGGAAUAGAAAGACGAUUCUUUAUCUGACUGGUAGGAAAGAAGAGCGAAGACUCCUCGGGGUUUCCAAGGAGGAGCGGAGCGGCUGCUUUAGUGAAGAAAUGGAGAAUCAAAGAAGUAAAGGACCUGUCUCAAAGUCUCACUAAUAGGGAAUCCUGAGGAGUUUCACACUUUUCAUCCUCCAGCCAUCAAUCAUCUUGUGGGGGAAGGCUAUACAUUGGUAGGAAUAAAAAAGCAAGCAGUUCCUGGCCUGUGAUACUCCAGUUAAGGGUGUCUGACUGACGGCAUGUUGGCACCAGCAUUGAGGGCAGUGAUGGGCUUCAGCUCCAGGUUUCUGUCCUGAGACCACAGCAGGAUGUGCCUUGCUCAAAGG